RNAcentral lists this ribosomal RNA (238 nucleotides) under uncultured bacterium. Its description in RNAcentral is "partial 16S ribosomal RNA". It matches the Rfam family "Bacterial small subunit ribosomal RNA", at positions 99 to 334 of the family's 1533-position model. The record is from RNAcentral.
CGAACGGGUGAGUAAUACGUGAGUAACCUACCUUUAACUCUGGGAUAAGCCUGGGAAACUGGGUCUAAUACCGGAUACGACCAAUCUCCGCAUGGGGUGUUGGUGGAAGCGUUAUGUAGUGGUUAUAGAUGGGCUCACGGCCUAUCAGCUUGUUGGUGAGGUAACGGCUCACCAAGGCGACGACGGGUAGCCGGCCUGAGAGGGUGACCGGCCACACUGGGACUGAGACACGGCCCAG